This is a long non-coding RNA of Eriocheir sinensis (Chinese mitten crab), 669 nucleotides long. RefSeq lists it as uncharacterized. NCBI's taxonomy places the organism in Eukaryota, Metazoa, Arthropoda, Malacostraca, Decapoda, Varunidae. The record is from RefSeq and is a predicted model, not a curated record. The transcript is spliced from 2 exons.
GUGAAGAAAAAUGUGAGGGGAAAUCCAGCAUACCAAUACCACAUGGGAAACACUCCACUAUCCACCACAGAGGCAGAGAAAGACCUGGGAGUGUAUGUUACCAGGCUACCAGUGAAGGGAUAUCCAGCACACCAAUACCACAUGGGAAACACUCCACUAUCCACCACAGAGGCAGAGAAAGACCUGGGAGUGUAUGUUACCAGGCUACCAGUGAAGGGAUAUCCAGCGCACCAAUACCACAUGGGAAACACUCCACUAUCCACCACAGAGGCAGAGAAAGACCUGGGAGUGUAUGUUACCAGGCUACCAGUGAAGGGAUAUCCAGCACACCAAUACCACAUGGGAAACACUCCACUAUCCACCACAGAGGCAGAGAAAGACCUGGGAGCAUAUGUUACCAGGCUACCAGUGAAGGGAUAUCCAGCACACCAAUACCACAUGGGAAACACUCCACUAUCCACCACAGAGGCAGAGAAAGACCUGGGAGUGUAUGUUACCAGGCUACCAGUGAAGGGAUAUCCAGCACACCAAUACCACAUGGGAAACACUCCACUAUCCACCACAGAGGCAGAGAAAGACCUGGGAGCAUAUGUUACCAGGCUACCAGUGAAGGGAUAUCCAGCACACCAAUACCACAUGGGAAACACUCCACUAUCCACCACAGAGGCA